UGGGCUUGAGGUCUAACUCUCUACUCUUCUCCUCUCAUGAUGAAUGUAAUCAAGAAGUGAUAUCUAUGAAAGCAUCUUCAUUGCAGGGGAUUGUGACACCACCCAUUGGAUGAUUGAAGCCAAAUUCUUCCUCUGCAUGACUCAAUAAUUUCUGGAAUGAAGGAUUGUUCAGGUAAGAUAAUGGAACCACAAAUCGCUUCCUUUGGCCUUCUCCAACAUAAACUGCAAAAUGGCCUUUUGGCACCUCUGAUGCUUCUGUUGAGAUAGAUGAUUGACUUCUAGUAAAAGGAGAAUGCAAUUUGAGAAUCUGUUUGGCCUGAACAAUUGAGGGGAAACGAAUACCCAUGGCCUUCUAUGGAACGAAGCUAGGAAAAGGAUCUUAAAUGGAUCAAAUGAGUUUUAUGUAGAACAGGAAUUGAAACUUGGAACACUUGAAAUGGACAUGUAGGAGGACUCAGUUGUCUAUGUAUUUAUAGAGAAUGAGCUGCUUAUCUUCUGAUGAUUUCAUGGUUGGGAGAAAUGGUAGUAGGGUACUUGAAGGGCCUCCCUCAUCAAGAAUCACAUGGUCAGUAUGGUGCUUCUGCCCCACAUGUUCCACCUCAUUAUCGCUAUAGUAGCCAGGGCUGGCAUGGCUGUGAGUAAUUGUAGACAAGCGACUAGCAUUUAGGCUAGAAAAAAUGGGAAAGACAAAAUCAUGUGAUGAUGUUGGUACUGAUAAUGCAAUGUAAAAUCAUAAGAUUCUAAGACAUGGCUAUAAAGUUGUUUCAACUCAUCAUAGAAUUCAUAAUUUUCUGCAUUUCUAAAAAUGAUUACAGUAGGUAGAAGAUGUGAUGAUAUGAGUGUUGCUUGAACAUUAGUAGAUUUUCUGUAACUAUUUCAAUUUAAGAUUGCAUUAGGCCUAAAAAAACUUACAAUUUUCCAGCCUAUAUUUAAAAAAAAAAAAAACACUUAGCCAAAGUUGAACAGUCUUUAGGGAAGUAGAUUGUAUUUUUGGUUUGAACAGUUUUUUCAAGCUUCGUUUUAGGAAAUGGGUAUAUCACAAGGUCCUCUUAUAAUUCUCUACUGUUCCCAGAUGUCAAUGUUCUACGAUUUUGUAACUCUAGCUUGUACUUUAUAUGCUUUCAAUGUGCAGAGGUAUCAGCCUGAGAACUUAAAUCCCAUGAAUUGGCUUAGUAUAUUGUGGUUUUCAUCAUUCAUAUACCACAGCCAGAUAGUUCAAUAGUCACUUUGAGUGGAGGGCAUCAGUAAACAUUGCCUCAAUCAUCUUGCAUGAGGAUCGAUUUUCUGAACUUCAGAUUUCUCUUAAUACCUGCUAUAUUUCGUCAAAUUUUCCACUCUAAAGGCCUGCUGUUUAAUAUUGCAUUUAAAAGCCUAGAUGACAUAUUACUUAUAGCUUACAUCCUUACCAAGAAACUGGUGGUAAAACCCUCACUUAUGGUUAUUUAGGAUCAUUAUGCUUGAUCCCAGAGUUGUAUGAAUCUGUGUUGUUGCUUCCCAAGGACAAUAAUGGGAGUUUCUGUCUACAACAAUAGUACAAUAAGAAGAUUCUCUAAGGAACUUACUCUUAAGGAACCUAUAUUGUUGAAGUGUUUCUUCAAGUAGACCUGAUCCAAGACUUGAUCUUGUACCAUUAUCUCAAUAUAAGAUUGUUUUAGGCCUAUGGAAGGAUAUCAAUUCUGACCCUCAGAUGUGUAAAACCCACCUAAAUCAAUUUAGCCCAUAAUGGGUCCUAACAGUAGAUUGUUGGAAUGCAAGUUACAGUCCACACUUCAAGCCUUAACACAAUAUAUUGAUUCUUAAGAGGCUGCAAUGGUGGAGUGAGAUCGAUAAUUAGAUAAUUAGAACGAAGACAAGUCGAUACAAUUAAACCUUUGAGCAGUUGCAUUAUGGAUCAAACAUUGGAAUUAUGUAACAGGAUCAUGGUAUUCAACAGCUAUUUUUGUAUUUUUUUAAUUUCUUGGAUAUCUGCUGACUCUUUACCAUCUUAUCCACUUAUAUAUAUGAGCUCACAAAGGGUCUGACUGCCUCAAUGCUAAUUGGUAAAUCUGAUGACAAUGCUUAAAUAUCAGGAUUGCAGGAUUCAAGACACUCUGUAUGCAUCUCCUUAACAGUAUUAUUUCUCGUCCCUAGGUACAACUCAGUAAAGGAUCAAGAUACAGCUUGAGACAGAUCUUGGGGACUUGCAAUUUGAAAGAGAUUAACAGUAUUAUUUCUCGUCCCUACAUACAACUCAGUAAAGGAUCAAAGAUACAGCUUGAGACAGAUCUUGGGGACUUGCAAUUUGAAAGAGAUAGUCGAAAAGAAGUAUAUUGAUCUCACAAUGAAAUAUAAAUUUCUUAUCCCUCUGUCAAUUUAUGUACAUCAAAGGAAUGAUAUAAAUGAGUCAAAAUUGGAGAAAAUGGACUUAAGGUGCCGACUAUUUCCUAACUCUUUACUCUUCCUUCUCUCAUAAUGAAUGUAGCCGAGAAGUGAGAUCAAUGAAAGCAUCUUCAUUGCAGGGGAUUGUGACACCACCCAUUGGAUGAUUGAAGCCGAAUUCUUCCUCAGCAUGGCUCAAUAAUUUCUGGAAUGAAGGAUUGUUCAAGUAAGAUAUUGGAACCACAAAUCUCUUCUUUUCAGCUUCUCCAACAUAAACUGCAAAGUGGCCUUUUGGCACUUCUGCUGUUGUCGCUAAUAUAGAUGAUUGACUUCUAGUAAGAAGAGAUUGCAGUUUGAGGAUUUGCCUGGCAUGAACCAUAGAGGGCAAACGGAAACCCAUGGCCUUCUUUGAAAUAGAUCUAAUGAGCUUAAAGUAGAACAAGGAUUGAAACUUCAAAUACUUGAACUGGAUGUGGAGGGAAGCUUUGAGUUGAAGGGAUGAUUUGGUAGUCUUUGUAUUUAUAGACAAGGAAUCUGGUACUUCCCAAUGCUUUCAGAUCUAGUGUGUGGUGACUAUAGUAAAGAGGGAAUGGCAGUUGGGUGUAUACAGGACCAAGCUGAUGAACCACCACAUGAUCUUGCCUCUCUGUUUGUCUCCCAUCCACCCCCAGCCCAUGCUGCAUCAGCCCCACAUGUUCCUAUUGACUUCUUAUCAAUAGGGUAGCUUCUCUAUAUACGAGUAAUUGCAGAAAAACAACCACCUUGUGCUAGAAAAGGAAGAGAAACAAAUCCAAGUGAUGGUGUUGGGUACUGAUAAUGCAAUCUUAAGGUAAGAUUUUCGACAAAAGCUAUAAAAGCUGUCUGGACUUGUCAUGAAGUAAUAGUUUAUGCAUUUCUACAAAUGAUUGCAGUUGCCAGAAGAUAGGAUGACUGGACUUUUUCUUCAUACAACUGAGUAGGUUUAUUGUCUCUUACAUGAGAUUCUACCAGGCCUAUAAACCGAGAAUCAUUCCCAGCCUAAUGUUCAAACUUAACCAGCCGAGGAAUCCUCUUCCAGACAUCACACAUUAGGGAACAUAAGUCACAAUGUUCUAAUUGUUUUGGCAGAGAGGAUCAUAUUGUUCUUGUCAGCUUGAGGACUUAAAAACUAGGUUUAAGGCAGCGGGCACAAGUGCUGGUAAUCUGAACAGAAAAUGCUACCGGUAGACAUGUUGUUGGCUGAUUUUUAUCAUUCAUUCAGGCUAUCAUAAUAUCAGAGAGCAUUGAUACAUCAGAACCAGCUAUUUCAAUAAGCACGAUGAGUGGAGGGCAUCAGUGAAGAAGAACUGACUAUGAGCAUAGAAAUAUUGAGGAUCUUUAUGCUUGACCUAAGACCAUAGUGUCUAAAAGUGCAGAAAAUAUUCGCUGUCAAAGUUUCCCCUUACCAAGGACCAUGGUAAAGCAACAGAAACAAGAGUUUCUUCCAAAGAUCAUUCCCUUGGAACAUGGAAGUAUUUGUAACAUGCCUGAAUACAAGCUCCUAAAUUGAAGACGGGGCUUUAAUAUCAUGAUUUGCAGGAUACAAGGUGUCAUGUUCCUAUCUGUGAAUACUCGUUUUUCAUCCUUUCUUACAUUGUCCAAAAAGUUCAUACUACAAUUCUGAAAGGCCAAUCAGUGAUAGGGGUGAAUAUCAGUGUAGAUAAAAUCAUCAUACUGAAUAGUACAACUCGUUUCUUCACUAUGAAAGAGAUAAGAAACAAUAAGGUCUAUUGAUCUUUCAAUUGAAGACGAUUUUAAUCACUCUGCCCAUGUAUGUACAUUAGCAUGGUAUAGACUGUUGAUUUAUCCAUUAUCAGAACAACCAUCAACCUAGUAACUAGAGGAAAAGUCCCACUUAUAGUCAUGACACCUUAUCAAAAUUGAAGAUCAAAAUUGAUUUUUGGCUAUAGAACUAUUCAGUAUUUUUAUCCCUUAACAAGUCUUGGAAUAAGGCAUGAUUCAGGUAGGAUAUGGGAAAAGUACCCUUUUGGAACACCUGCUGUUGUUGCUGAUUGACAUUUUCUUGGAAGACACAGGGGUCAAAGACAAUCUCAAGUGGUGUGGUAUAGAGCGAGGACUAGGAGGUUUAACACUACAAGAGUAUAAAGAUUUUCAGCAUGCAAGAUUUUAUGUUUGCAUCUCAUCCACAGGCAGAUUGCAGUUAAGAAAUUCAAGAUACAGUUCCCGGACAAAUGUUGGUGAAUUUCAGUGUAUACAUAAUUGGCAUAUUGAACGGUAUAAACACUCAAGUUUUUGCAAUUUGAAAAAGGUAGGAGAAUAAUCUCAAUGAAAUAUGAAUUUUGUAUCCCUCUGCCAAUUUAUGUACAUCUAUGAAAUCAUUUACAUGGGUCAAAAUUAGAGACAGCAGACUUGAUGUGCCAACUAUUUUCUCAACACUUUGCCACUUCUUCUCUCAGGAUGAAUUUAGAUGAGAAGUUAGAUCAAUGAAAGAUUCUUCCUUGCAUGGGAUUGUGACUCCACCCAUUGGAUGAUUGAAGCCGAAUUCUUCCUCAGCAUGGCUCAACAAUUUCUGGAAUGAAGGAUUAUUCAAGUAAGAUAUUGGAACCACAAACCGCUUCUUUUCAGUUUCUCCAACAUAAACUGCAAAGUGGCCUUUUGGCACUUCAGCUGUUGUUGAUGAUACAGAUAGCUGACUUCUGGUAAGAAGAGAUUGCAGUUUGAGGAUCUGCUUGGCAUGAAGAAUUGAAGGCAUACAAACCCAUCUCCUUCUUUGGAAUGAAAUUAGGGAAAUGAUCUUGAAUGAAUCUAAUGAGCUUAAUGUAGAACAAGAAUGGAAACUUGGAACACUUGAACUGGAUGUGAGGGUUGGUUCAGUUGUUGUAUUUAUACAGAAAGAAUCCCUUAUUUUCCAAGCUUUCGUGAUUGGAGGAAAUGGUAGUUGGGGAAAUGAAGGCCCUUCCUCAUCAAGGGUCACAUGGUUUUGCCUCCCUUUCCCUAUCUCUCUGUAUCUUUCACUUCCACCGCCAGCCUAAUUGGGUGUAUCAGCCCCACAUGUGCCUUCAAAGUUGUUAUCCAUGUAAAAUCUUAUGGCCCUAUUUCUACAAAUAGUUGAAAACAGACCUCUCCCUUGUGCUGGAAAACGAAAAAGAAAUAAAUCCAUGAGAAGGUGAUAAGAUUAACAGACAGCCAUAAAAGCUUUAGAUAGAAGAUAGACUGAUCUAACGACACUGUUUUUCAACAAACUGGUGAGAGACAUGAGUAGGUCGUGUGUCCCUAUUCAAGUAUAAGAUAGAAGUUGCACUAGGCCUACACAAGGAUACUAACUCCCAGCAUAAUGUUCUAACAAGAUACUAACCAAACCCGAAAAUGCAGACACCUUGCACACAUAAUGUAGUAGCCAAUCUAGUGUGAAGAAACAUUAUGUUGGUUAAAGUAUAUUGCAAUGUGUGAUUCUAAGCUGCUCUUGAAAGCGAAAAUGUUAUAAUUUCAAAACUCUAGCUUGCAGUUUAAGUAUUUAUCAGCUUAAGGACUUUAAAAAAAUAAAGCUUUCAGCACUUGGAAAUUUGGAAAUCACAUGCAGCCAAGCGUUCAAACAGUAAAUGCUAUGAACUGACCUAGAGUUCAAAAUCAACGCCAGUUAAGGAAUGUCUGAAACACCAGAUAUAAGACGCUUUUUCAAUGAUCAAGGCAUACAAGUGCGAAAAUACUGAAGAUAGCAAUGUAGUAGGUAAAUCAAAAUCUGUGAUAGGUGACAAAGCUUUAAUAUUUAGAUUUCUAGGAUGUAAGAUUUUAUGAUCCUAUCAGUUAGUUCUCAUGUCUCAUCGCUCUGUAGAUUGAAGGGAAGAGAAUGUAUAUUGAUAGCAAACACUACAACUAUUCAACUUUAUGCCAUUCAAGUGAGUUGGACAAAUAAAGGUGUAUUGAUCUUCCAAUUGAAGAAAGAUCACACAGAAGUUAAAUGUAAUUGCCAGAGUUACAUGCUGAUAACCAAAUGAGAUAACAGUGCUUAUUAUUGAGUUUGGAGAGAUGUAAUAUAUGUAUUCCAAUCAUUUUUUUCUGAUUAUGCAUCCAGUAGAAAAAUUGAAUUAAAAGUUCUUAACUACCAUCCUGAAUUAUUAUUGAUCUGGGUGAUUAUCAAUGGACAUAUACUAUCAUGCUGGAAGCCACAAGUACUCAAAUCUAUGCAAUUGGAAAGAAGUAGGAGAAAGGAAAGUAUAUUGAUCUUAUAGCUCUGCCAAUUAUGUACAUCAAUGAAAUCAUUUACAAGGUUCAAAAUUGGAGAUAGUGGGAUUGAGGUCUAACUCUCUACUCUUCUUCCUCUUAUGAUGAAUGUAAUCAAGAAGUGAUAUCUAUGAAAGCACCUUCAUUGCAGAGGAUUGUGACACCACCCAUUGGAUGCUUGAAGCCAAAUUCUUCCUCAGCAUGACUCAAUCAUUUCAGGAAUGAAGGAUUGUUCCGGUAAGAUAUUGGAACUACAAAUCGCUUCCUUUGAGCUUCUCCGACAUAAACUACAAAGUGGCCUUUCGGCACCUCUGAUGCUUUUGUUGAUAUAGACAAUUGACUUCUAGUAAGAAGAGGAUCUACUUUGAGAAUCUGCUUGGCCUGAACAAUUGAGGGGAGAUGAAUACCCAUGGCCUUCAAUGGAAUGAAGCUAGGAAAAGGAUCUUGAAUAGAUCCAAUGAGUUUUAUGUAGAACAAGAAUUGAACCUUGGAACACUUGAACUGGACAUGAAGGGUGAUUCAGUUGUCUAUGUAUUUAUAGAGAAAGAAAUGCCUUUUUUCUGAUGCUUCCAUGGUUGGAGGAAAUGGUAGCAAGGUACUUGAAGGGCCU
This 7168-nucleotide long non-coding RNA is filed under the name Vitis vinifera (wine grape). RNAcentral's name for it is "long non-coding RNA (VVIN_LNC001136)". Lineage: Eukaryota; Viridiplantae; Streptophyta; Magnoliopsida; Vitales; Vitaceae. The record is from RNAcentral.